Molecule: ribosomal RNA, 377 nt
Filed under: uncultured bacterium
Lineage: Bacteria
Description: bacterial SSU rRNA
Rfam family: Bacterial small subunit ribosomal RNA
Source: RNAcentral
AUACGUAGGGGGCGAGCGUUGUCCGGAAUUACUGGGCGUAAAGGGUGCGUAGGCGGUUGCUUAAGUUGGAUGUGAAAUACCCGGGCUUAACUUGGGGGGUGCAUUCAAAACUGGGCGACUAGAGUUCAGGAGAGGGAAGCGGAAUUCCUAGUGUAGCGGUGAAAUGCGUAGAUAUUAGGAGGAACACCAGUGGCGAAGGCGGCUUUCUGGACUGACACUGACGCUGAGGCACGAAAGCGUGGGGAGCAAACAGGAUUAGAUACCCUGGUAGUCCACGCUGUAAACGAUGAAUACUAGGUGUAGGGGGUAUCAACUCCCUCUGUGCCGCAGCUAACGCAAUAAGUAUUCCGCCUGGGGAGUACGGCCGCAAGGUUGAA